RNAcentral lists this ribosomal RNA (326 nucleotides) under uncultured eukaryote. RNAcentral's name for it is "partial 18S ribosomal RNA". It matches the Rfam family "Eukaryotic small subunit ribosomal RNA", at positions 1470 to 1796 of the family's 1831-position model. The record is from RNAcentral.
CCCUUAGAUGUUCUGGGCCGCACGCGCGCUACACUGAUGCAUUCAACAAGCCUAGCCUUGACCGAGAGGUCCGGGUAAUCUUUGAAACUGCAUCGUGAUGGGGCUAGAUUAUUGCAAUUAUUAAUCUUCAACGAGGAAUGCCUAGUAAGCGUGAUUCAUCAAAUCGCGUUGAUUACGUCCCUGCCCUUUGUACACACCGCCCGUCGCUCCUACCGAUUGAAUGUGUUGGUGUGGAGCUCGGAUUGGCAGCAGUUGGUGGUUCGCCACCGGCUAUUGCUGAGAAGUCCUCCAAACCGCCCCAUUUAGAGGAAGGAGAAGUCGUAACA